GUGAGACGUAACUGUAAGUGACUCUGCAACUGCACCCUAGUAUCUCUAGUGGAAGAAUUAAGUGGCGUAGUAGAGGUUUUAGGACGAGUUACAACGAAAGCAACCAUUAUGGCUGGCACAUGUAUGCCAUUGCAGGAAGACAAUAACAGUUUUGACUUGGGUCUUUACAAUGAAGCUCUGAAAAUUAUUCAUGAUUCCCCCCAGUACUAUCCUUUUUAAAUAAAGUCAAGUGAAUGAUGGGCUCCUCCUCCUCCUCUAGUAUCAGCUGAAAAAGACCUAAACCAAUAUCACUCUUUUGGAGAAUGACCUUUGUUUCUAUUUUUAGGUGACUUAGGCUGGGACCAAAUCAAAACUUUGACAACCCGCUAAUCGCACUUAACAAAACUGUAUUUAAUAGCUUUUUAUUUUGGUAUCUUAUUUCUUCUACUCAUAAAAAGAAAACGCUAUUAAAUACAGUUUUGUUAAGUGCGAUUAGCGGGUUGUCAAAGUUUUGAUUUGGUCCCAGCCUUAAUGUCUUCCAUCUGUAAACAUACAAGGAAAGUUAACUUAAAGGGUUUGAAUAAUACAAGCUUGAUAACGUUACAUAUAAGCAUAUCAUUUGUUAUAUAUUCUGUGUUUAUGUUUUUCUCCCUAUUAGUAAACAUGUGUCACACUUUGGGCACAAAUAAGUUCCGUGAAAGUACUGUAACUCUGUUCUUGUUUCUUC
This is a long non-coding RNA of Acipenser ruthenus (sterlet), 706 nucleotides long. RefSeq lists it as uncharacterized. The record is from RefSeq and is a predicted model, not a curated record. The transcript is spliced from 3 exons. NCBI's taxonomy places the organism in Eukaryota, Metazoa, Chordata, Actinopteri, Acipenseriformes, Acipenseridae.